RNAcentral lists this microRNA precursor (203 nucleotides) under Oryza barthii. RNAcentral's name for it is "MIR812 microRNA precursor family". It matches the Rfam family "MIR812 microRNA precursor family". Lineage: Eukaryota; Viridiplantae; Streptophyta; Magnoliopsida; Poales; Poaceae. The record is from Rfam by way of RNAcentral.
AAAAAGACAAACCCUGGCUUCCGUGCCAACAUUUGACCGUCCGUCUUAUUUGAAAAUUUUUUGAAAAAAUUAAAAAGACAAGUCACGCAUAAAAUAUUAAUCAUGUUUUAUCAUCUAACAACAAUGAAAAUACGAAUUAUAAAAAAAUUUCAUAUAAAACGGACAGUCAAAGUUGGACACGUAAACCCAGGGUUUGUCUUUUU